RNAcentral lists this ribosomal RNA (253 nucleotides) under uncultured bacterium. Its description in RNAcentral is "partial 16S ribosomal RNA". It matches the Rfam family "Bacterial small subunit ribosomal RNA", at positions 524 to 776 of the family's 1533-position model. The record is from RNAcentral.
UACGAAGGGGGCUAGCGUUGCUCGGAAUCACUGGGCGUAAAGGGUGCGUAGGCGGGUCUUUAAGUCAGGGGUGAAAUCCCGGAGCUCAACUCCAGAACUGCCUUUGAUACUGAAGAUCUUGAGUUCGGGAGAGGUGAGUGGAACUGCGAGUGUAGAGGUGAAAUUCGUAGAUAUUCGCAAGAACACCAGUGGCGAAGGCGGCUCACUGGCCCGAUACUGACGCUGAGGCACGAAAGCGUGGGGAGCAAACAGG